Molecule: long non-coding RNA, 252 nt
Filed under: Brachypodium distachyon (stiff brome)
Lineage: Eukaryota; Viridiplantae; Streptophyta; Magnoliopsida; Poales; Poaceae
Description: long non-coding RNA (BDIS_LNC000528)
Source: RNAcentral
UUUGCAAGAUUUCCUUUCCUUCUCCCCUGCUCCAAGCCACAAGCUCUCUGUCCUACCCUAUCUCUGCAAGCUCGGCCGGCGCCCAGCUUUCUUCUCAAGAAAACAACGCAUAUAUAAGUGCACACCUGCUCGGCCCCCAUAGCAGCAACAAUCUCAACUCCGGUUCCUUAGCAUCUUCUUCUUCUUCACCUUUUCUCUAAAGAAAACUCUCGGUUUCAAUCUCGGGCCAGCGCUGGCGAUGGAGACCAAGGC